RNAcentral lists this unclassified non-coding RNA (586 nucleotides) under Aspergillus puniceus. Its description in RNAcentral is "sequence contains 18S rRNA gene, ITS1, 5.8S rRNA gene, ITS2, 28S rRNA gene". The stretch from base 217 to 370 matches the Rfam family "5.8S ribosomal RNA". The record is from RNAcentral. Lineage: Eukaryota; Fungi; Ascomycota; Eurotiomycetes; Eurotiales; Aspergillaceae.
UCGUAACAAGGUUUCCGUAGGUGAACCUGCGGAAGGAUCAUUACCGAGUGCAGGCCUCGCCCCACAGGCAGGCCUAACCUCCCACCCGUGAAUACCUGACCAACGUUGCUUCGGCGGUGCGCGCCCCCUUCCCGGGGGGCGUAAGCCGCCGGGGACCACACCGAACUUCUUGUUUUUAGCGUGUCGUCUGAGCUUGAUACAAGCAAACCUAAUUAAAACUUUCAACAAUGGAUCUCUUGGUUCCGGCAUCGAUGAAGAACGCAGCGAACUGCGAUAAGUAAUGUGAAUUGCAGAAUUCAGUGAAUCAUCGAGUCUUUGAACGCACAUUGCGCCCCCUGGCAUUCCGGGGGGCAUGCCUGUCCGAGCGUCAUUGCUGCCCUUCAAGCCCGGCUUGUGUGUUGGGUCGUCGUCCCCCCCGGGGGACGGGCCCGAAAGGCAGCGGCGGCACCGCGUCCUGGUCCUCGAGCGUAUGGGGCUUUGUCACCCGCUCGUUUAGGGCCGGCCGGGCGCCAGCCGGCGUCUCCAAACCUUUUAUUUUACCAGGUUGACCUCGGAUCAGGUAGGGAUACCCGCUGAACCUAAGCAU